AGAGUUUGAUCCUGGCUCAGAACGAACGCUGGCGGCGUGCCUAAAAAGCAAGUCGAGCGAGAAAGCCCCCGCAAGGGGGUGAGUAAAGCGGCGAACGGGUGAGUAACACGUGGGCAACCUGCCCUUCAGUCAGGAAUAACCCCGCGAAAGCGGGGCUAAUACCGGAUAACGUCCCUUGGGGGCAUCUUCGGGGGACCAAAGGGGGCGAGCGCAAGCGGCUCCCGCUGAUGGAUGGGCCUGCGGCUGAUUAGCUAGUUGGUGGGGUAACGGCCUACCAAGGCGACGAUCAGUAGCCGACCUGAGAGGGUGACCGGCCACACUGGGACUGAGACACGGCCCAGACUCCUACGGGAGGCAGCAGUGGGGAAUAUUGCGCAAUGGGGGAAACCUUGAUGCAGCGACGCCGCGUGGGUGAUGAAGGCCUUCGGGUCGUAAAGCCCUGUCGUAGGGGAAGAACCGGUGGACGGCUAAUACCCGUCUGCCCUGACGGUACCCUACAAGAAAGCACCGGCUAACUCCGUGCCAGCAGCCGCGGUAAUACGGAGGGUGCGAGCGUUGUUCGGAAUUACUGGGCGUAAAGCGCGUGCAGGCGGCCGACUAAGUCAGGUGUGAAAGCCCGGGGCUCACCUCCGGAAGUGCGCUUGAAACUGGUCGGCUAGAGUACGGGAGAGGGAAGCGGAAUUCCUGGUGUAGCGGUGAAAUGCGUAGAUAUCAGGAGGAACACCGGCGGCGAAAGCGGCUUCCUGGACCGAUACUGACGCUGAGAC
This 767-nucleotide ribosomal RNA is filed under the name uncultured Bacillota bacterium. RNAcentral describes it as "bacterial SSU rRNA". It matches the Rfam family "Bacterial small subunit ribosomal RNA", at positions 8 to 752 of the family's 1533-position model. The record is from RNAcentral. Lineage: Bacteria; Bacillati; Bacillota.